This is an RNA transcript of Rhinopithecus roxellana (golden snub-nosed monkey), 2170 nucleotides long. It is a transcript of the gene named la-related protein 4 pseudogene, with no coding region annotated. NCBI's taxonomy places the organism in Eukaryota, Metazoa, Chordata, Mammalia, Primates, Cercopithecidae. The transcript has a single exon. The record is from RefSeq and is a predicted model, not a curated record.
AUGUUGCGUUUCAUGGAGGUAACAUCUAAAGGAACUGGUUUAAAUCCUAAUGCCAAAGUAUGGCAAGAAGUUGCUCCUGGAAAUACUGAUGCCACCCCAGUAACUCAUGGAACUGAAAGCUCUUGGCAUGAAACAGCAGCUACAUCAGGUGCUCAUCCUGAGGGUAAUGCAGAGCUCUCAGAAGAUACAUGUAAAGAAUAUGAAGUAAUGUAUUCUUCGUCUUGUGAAACCACAAGAAAUACUACAGGCAUUGAAGAAUAAACUGAUGGGAUGAUUUUAGGACCAGAAGAUCUGAAUUACUAAAUAUAUGAUGUUUCUGGAGAAAGCAAUUCAGCAAUUUCUACAGAAGACCUAAAAGAAUUCUGAAGAAACAAUUAGAAUUCUGUUUUUCAUGAGAAAAUUUGUCAAAGGAUCUUUACUUGAUAUCUCAAAUGGAUAGUGAUCAGUUCAUCCCAAUUUGGACAGUUGCCAACAUGGAAGAAAUAAAAAAGUUUACUACAGACCCUGAUCUAAUUCUUGAAGUGUUAAGAUCUUCUCCCAUGGUGCAAGUUGAUGAGAAGGGUGAGAAAGUGAGACCAAGUCACAAGCGUUGUAUUGUAGUUCUUAGAGAGAUUCCUGAAACAACACCAAUAGAGGAAGUGAAAGCUUUGUUCAAAAGUGAAAACUGCCCUAAAGUGAUAAGCUGUGAAUUUGCACACAAUAGCAACUGGUAUAUCACUUUCCAGUCAGACACAGAUGCACAACAGGCUUUUAAAUACUUAAAAGAAGAAGUUAAAACAUUUCAGGGCAAGCCAAUUAUGGCAAGGAUAAAAGCCAUCAAUACAUUUUUUGCUAAGAAUGGUUAUCGAUUAAUGGAUUCUAUUAUCUAUAGUCAGCCCAUUCAAACUCAAGCACAGUAUGCCUCCCCAGUCUUUAUGCAGCCUGUAUAUAAUCCUCACCAACAGUACUCGGUCUAUAGUAUUGUGCCUCAGUCUUGGUCUCUAAAUCCUACACCUUACUUUGAAACACCACUGGCUCCCUUUCCCAAUGGUAGUUUUGUGAAUGGCUUUAAUUCACCAGGAUCUUAUAAAACAAAUGCUGCUGCUAUAAAUAUGGGUCGAUCAUUCCAAAAAAAUCAUGUGAGGCCUCAUUUUAGGUCAUCCAGUGGUUCAGAACACUCAACAGAGGGCUCUGUAUCCUUGGGGGAUGGACAGUUGAACAGAUCUAGUUCAAGAAACCUUCCAACUGAACGGCAUAACCCUCAAGUAACUGGGCAUCAGGAGCAAACUUACCUUAAAAGGAGACUUCCACUUUGCAGAUGGAACAGAACGGGGACUAUGGUAGGGGCAGGAGAACUCUCUUCAGAGGUCGAAGACGACGAGAAGAUGACAGGUUCUCAAGACCUCAUCCUUCAACAGCUGAAUCAAAGGCUCCAACACCAAAGUUUGAUUUGUUAGCCUCAAAUUUUCCACCUUUACCUGGAAGUUCAUCAAGAAUGCCAGGUGAACUCAUUUUGGAGAAUAGGAUGUCUGAUGUUGUUAAAGGUGUCUACAAAGUAAAGGAUAAUGAAGAGUUGAGAGUUAGUUGCCCAGUGCCUGCAGAUGAGCAGACAGAAUGCACUUCUGCCCAACAACUCAAUAUGAGUUCCAGUUCUCCAUGUGCUGCUGAGCUUACUGCAUUAAGCACAAUUCAGCAAGAAAAGGAUCUAAUAGAGGAUUCCUCUGUUCAGAAGGAUGGUCUCAACCAGACAACUAUGCCAGUUUCUCCUCCAAGUACUGCAAAGCCAUCGAGGGCAAGUACUGCUUCACCAUGUAAUAAUAACAUAAAUGCAGCUAUAGCUGUGGCUCUACAGGAACCCCGAAAGUUAAGUUAUGCUGAAGUGUGCCAGAAGCCCCCUAAAGAGCCAUCUUCAGUUCUUGUGCAGCCACUAUGGGAACUUCGCUGUAAUGUGGUGUCUCCCACCAAAAAUGAAGACAGUGGAGCUCCUGAGAACUCCGUUGAGACACCACAUGAGAAGCCAGAAGCAAGGGCUAGUAAGGAUUAUUCUGGCUUUCGAGGCAAUACAAUCCCCAGGGGAGCAGCUGGAAAAAUCAGGGAACAGAGACGCCAGUUUAGCCAUAGGGCUAUACCUCAGGGAGUGACUCAACGUAAUGGCAAAGAGCAAUAUGUGCCACCCAGAUCACCAAAGUAA